RNAcentral lists this long non-coding RNA (2954 nucleotides) under Marmota monax (woodchuck). The record is from RNAcentral. Lineage: Eukaryota; Metazoa; Chordata; Mammalia; Rodentia; Sciuridae.
GAGAGCAGGUGAGGAGCUGCCGUGUGGAGACGGAGGCCAGGGCCCUGCCAGGCAGGGCAGAGGGUCCAGUGCGUGGCCAGCUGUCCCCUUAGGCCCCUGGGCUUGGGCGAGCGUCCUGCUGGGCCCCGAGAGCCAGCUGGGGGCCGCCUUUGGGAUCUUGUGCAGAUGGCAAGUACUUGAGGCAGGGUGUCCUGGGGCGGGAGCAGUUUGGGCGUUUCUGUUUGAGAGGUUUAAUGGGGAAAAAAUACCCCCCAGCUCUGCCCAUGGUGUCCUGGAGUGGGGGUCUCCUACCCUCUUGGCCAGGAGCCCGUCCCCCCACCACCUCCUCACUCUGGGAUCCUGAUGGCUGCACCCUCCUCAGAGCCUCAGGCGCUGGCCGGUGCUGGCCCCAGGAGGCCAGUCUUGGUGGUCUCGGUCCCCGUGGCCUAUGGCUGUCUUAGUCCUGUCAGGGGAUGCCCACCCACGAGGGGCCUCCGCCAGGGUGCUGGGGACAGGACUCCACUAGCAAGCGGGCAGGGAGGAGGUGGCCUUCUCUGCUGCUGGACACUCCACCUGCCCCUCCCCCAAGAGGGCAGAGAAGAGGGCAGGGACCAGGACGGUCACAUCCCAGAACCUCCUGCCGCAGACCAUCCUCAGGAGAGCUGCUCGAUGUCCCCACUGCUCUGUUUGUCACUUGUGCAAGGGUCGCUGCCUCACUAGCCCAAAGGAGAAAAGUGAGACCAGCCACGGGGGACAGUGGCAGCUGCGGGAGAGCCGAAAAGAAAACCCAGAGAGACCCCAGAGGGGCAGGGGGGAUGGGCCUGUGUGUCGGUCAGGCCUCCAGCGGAGCUGCAGGACAGAGGCAGAGGGUGUGGACAGAGCCACCCGUUCCCAAGGCGCCCUCUGUCUGUGGAAAGAUCCCGGCUCCCUGCCAACAAGAGACUUACAGAGCAAAGCCCUGCCCACCUUGAUGGCUGGCGGGAGGGUCAGGGCUCCAACCACACCUGCGGGUGAUUUAAAACACUGUCACAGCCCUCCCAGGGGUGUGCCCUACAGACAGACGCACAGACGCUUAGGUUACAUUCCAGGAAGCUCACUGCUCGCAGCAGGAAACCAGGAGCAGCCUGAAGUCUGUUCGGGAAAGACCAGCUGCAGAAAUGACCACCCAUGGAACACUGGAGUACCUUCCCAUGCGGUCCGGGAAGACCCCCAGGGAGAGGGCCACCUAGGAGAAGCAAGAUGUGAACAGCACACUGCCAAUCACGGAGGGAAGGAGGCGAAAAGAGAAGCCGUGUGCAUCACUAGUGUGUCUAUCUGCCUGUCCACCCAGUAGCUGUUGUGAAGGACUGAAUUGUGCCUGCUUCCAGCCCACGUCAGAGCCUCACCCUCCACGUGACUGUGUUUGGAGAUGGGACCUUUAAGGAGAUCAAUAAAUUAAAUGGGACUCUGAUCCGUUAUGACUGGUGUCUUCAAAAGAAGAGAGACACGGGGGUUCUGUGCUCCCAGAAAAAGAAAGGGGUCAUCUGCAAGCCAAGGAGGGAGGGCUGAGGUGGAACCAGAGCUCCCAGUACCCCGGAAUGUGAUAACACAAAUCCCCAUUGUCUAAGCCAUCCAGGCUGUGGUGCUUUGUUAUGGCAGCAGUGGCUAACUGAUACUGACUUUGGUACCAGCAAGUGGGUGCUGCUAUAACAAAUAUCUGAAAACAUGGAGAUGGGCUUUGGGACAGCAGAAUGGGUAGAAGCUGGAAGAUUUUGAGGUGCAUGUUAGAGAAAGCCCAGAGCACCUCGAAGAGACGGCCAGUCCAACACGGAGGUUGAAGGUGCUCUGGGGUCUCAGACGGAGAGCACGUUCACUGGAGGGAGGGAAGGCAGUCCCUGCUACAGGGUGGAAAUCGCGGCUGUGCUGUGUUCCAGUUAAAAGUGACGAACUUGGAAAUUCACCUGAGGAGACUUCUAAGCAGAGUGUCUUGCCACUUACAGUGACAUGAGUAGACACAGGGCCCUGCCCAGCAGACCUGCCAGCCGAGACCAGGAGGGAUGGAGUAGAAGGCACGUGGAUGAACCAGGGCAGCUCCGGGGCGCGGCAGGGGGACAAUCCAGCUGUCGGGGUGUGGGCAUGCAUCAUCUUUUGUGGAAAAUGAAGAGUGGCCCCUGGACGACUCAGGGACAGCAGGGCGGCCACUGCCAUGUGGGCCCCCAGCCUGGGUGUCAGAGGGCCCAGCUGCCACUGCCCAGACUUGGAAAGGCAAAGCUGCUGCCUGGAGCCCCAGGGCCAUGGGGACGAAGCUGCUGCCCACUGGGUCUGGAGGGCAGAGCCCUGAGCCAAGGACAGGGUCCCUGAGGAUCAGAAUAGAAUGGAAUCAGCCUCGCAGGUCUCGGCUGCGUCAGGCACCCAUUGUCCCCCUCCGCCUCGUCCCUCUGCCUCGUCUCUCCCCUUUGGAGUGGAGUUCUGCCGGCUUUGUGCUGUGGCGGCCCUGGACUCCCCCUGCAGGGGGCUUGGCCUAGGCCUCACCCACCGCUGACCUGGGUGGUGUUCAGAUGGGGCUCUGGGCUCAGAGCUGCUGCUGGAUGAGCUCAGGGCCCUUGGGACACAGGGAAGUGCUGUGCAGUGUGAGAGUCGGGAACUGGGGGGCAGAGGUGGACCAGGGGCUGAAUGGAGCCCCCACUCAUGGGUCGAAACCCCAGCUCCCGAAGACCACCUCUGAAGGCAGGCUUUGAGAAGGCACCGAGACCAGGCGAGGUCACUGGGGUGGCCCUCCGUCCAGCAUGGCCGUGUCCUCAGAACAGGAGCACCUCAGGAAGGUGAGCGUGCCCUGGGCAAAGGACCGGCAAGGUCAGCAUGGGAAGGUGGCCUCCCAAGCCCUGCAGCCGGGUCCCAGGGGCCAGCUGCCAACACCUGGGUCCAGGAUCGGGCCUCCAGAACAGAGAGGCAGGUCUCUGUGCUGUGCCGCUGGGCAGCCUCGGCCGACUGACCCC